This 254-nucleotide ribosomal RNA is filed under the name uncultured Stenotrophomonas sp. RNAcentral's name for it is "partial 16S ribosomal RNA". It matches the Rfam family "Bacterial small subunit ribosomal RNA", at positions 99 to 356 of the family's 1533-position model. The record is from RNAcentral. Lineage: Bacteria; Pseudomonadati; Pseudomonadota; Gammaproteobacteria; Lysobacterales; Lysobacteraceae.
CGGACGGGUGAGGAAUACAUCGGAAUCUACUCUGUCGUGGGGGAUAACGUAGGGAAACUUACGCUAAUACCGCAUACGACCUACGGGUGAAAGCAGGGGAUCUUCGGACCUUGCGCGAUUGAAUGAGCCGAUGUCGGAUUAGCUAGUUGGCGGGGUAAUGGCUCACCAAGGCGACGAUCCGUAACUGGUCUGAGAGGAUGAUCAGUCACACUGGAACUGAGACACGGUCCAGACUCCUACGGGAGGCAGCAGCG